UACGUAGGGUGCAAGCGUUAAUCGGAAUUACUGGGCGUAAAGCGUGCGCAGGCGGUUAUGUAAGACAGAUGUGAAAUGCCCGGGCUAACCUGGGAACUGCAUUUGUGACUGCAUGGCUUGAGUGCGGCAGAGGAGACUGGAAUUCCUGGUGUAGCAGUGAAAUGCGUAGAUAUCAGGAGGAACACCGAUGGCGAAGGCAGGUCUCUGGGCUGACACUGACGCUCAUGCACGAAAGCGUGGGGAGCAAACAGG
RNAcentral lists this ribosomal RNA (252 nucleotides) under uncultured bacterium. Its description in RNAcentral is "partial 16S ribosomal RNA". It matches the Rfam family "Bacterial small subunit ribosomal RNA", at positions 524 to 776 of the family's 1533-position model. The record is from RNAcentral.